Molecule: long non-coding RNA, 426 nt
Organism: Homo sapiens (human)
Lineage: Eukaryota; Metazoa; Chordata; Mammalia; Primates; Hominidae
Source: Ensembl
CAACUAUGACCGGGCUGUCAUCAAUACCGUUCCUUAUGAUGUCGUCCAUCGCUGGUAUACAGCACACCGGACUCUAACGAUAGAGUUGAGGAGACCUGAGAAUGAGUUUUGGGUCAAACUAAAGCCUGGCAGGGUGGGUCCUAAUCUCUAAAGAUGUCAAGCAAGCUUGUAAUACUGAAGCAGUGAAGAACGGGUACUUACUUAAUAUGUCCUAUUUAUAGACAACUGGCGUGUCCUACAUGGCAGGGAAUGCUUCACUGGCUACCGCCAACUGUGUGGCUGCUAUUUAACAAGAGAUGAUGUAUUAAACACUGCUCGCCUCUUGGGGCUUCAGGCUUAAAAUUGACAGCAUCUGGAUUAUGAAUACACCUGGCACCCUGGCUACCAGAAUUUCAUAUGGGCAGAAUAAUAUUGUGUCAAACUCUA